Long non-coding RNA from Hibiscus syriacus, 474 nucleotides. RefSeq lists it as uncharacterized. The transcript is spliced from 3 exons. The record is from RefSeq and is a predicted model, not a curated record. NCBI's taxonomy places the organism in Eukaryota, Viridiplantae, Streptophyta, Magnoliopsida, Malvales, Malvaceae.
CAGUUUCUCAUUUUGAAGAUAGAAGCCACGAAGAUUAACAUGCUGGAGAUAAGACAAAUGAAACCUUUAAAAUCUCAACAUAUGAAAUCCAAAAUAAGCCCUCUGCGGAAACUCAAAAGGACGAUGCAAACGACAACAUCCGGAGAGAGUCCGUUGCUGAAGACAAAACUGUGAAGGAUGACAUGAAUGAAGCCCCAGUAUAGAGAAGAGAUUCCAGGGAAGAGACCCCAUUGAGUGCAAAAGACAAUAAAUUCAACUGGCAAGCAACAGUUUCUGACAGAACAGCAGAAUGAAGCUUUUGGAACCGCAGACAAAGCUUUAGUUGGAGAUUUGGAACCUGGUACUUUUCAAGAGAUAUGUUCAGAAUCAGCAGAUUCUGCUAAGCUAUCAUUGUAUGACCUACUCCAAGAUCCACAAGAGAAACAAUACAAGGGACUAAAAAUGUUUAUUGAAGAAAGGGAACUAAAGGUAAGC